This 391-nucleotide unclassified non-coding RNA is filed under the name soil metagenome. RNAcentral's name for it is "partial contains 5.8S ribosomal RNA, internal transcribed spacer 2, and large subunit ribosomal RNA". The stretch from base 1 to 122 matches the Rfam family "5.8S ribosomal RNA", at positions 35 to 154 of the family's 154-position model. The record is from RNAcentral.
GAUGAAGAACGCAGCGAAAUGCGAUACUUGGUGUGAAUUGCAGAAUCCCGUGAACCAUCGAGUCUUUGAACGCAAGUUGCGCCCGAAGCCAUUAGGCCGAGGGCACGCCUGCCUGGGCGUCACACGUCGUUGCCCCCCCAUCUACUCCUUCGGGAUUGCGGGGGGCGGAUGAUGGCCUCCCGUGCGCCUCGUCGCGCGGUUGGCAUAAAUGCCAAGUCCUCGGCGACGCACGCCACGACAAUCGGUGGUUGCGAAACCUCGGUUGCCCGUCGUGUGCGGUCGUCGCGCAUCGAGGGCUCGAAAAAAUUGCCGGGCUCCGGCUCGGCUUCCAACGCGACCCCAGGUCAGGCGGGGUUACCCGCUGAAUUUAAGCAUAUCAAUAAGCGGAGGA